CUCUUCUUGGUUUGUAUUUGAAGUAUGACCUGCCCACUGAGUUAAUUGAAGGGCCGCGGUAUUUUGACCGUGCAAAGGUAGCAUAAUCAUUAGUUCUUUAAUUGUGAACUGGUAUGAAUGGUUUGACGAGACAUUAGCUGUCUUUGAAUUAGGUUAUAUUGAAUUUGUUGUUUGGGUAAAAAUACCUAAAUUUUUUUAUGGGACGAGAAGACCCUAUAGAGUUUUAUAUAAUAUAUCUUUUAUUUGUUAGUUGUGUUUUAUGGAUUAUUUAUAUUUUGUUGGGGUGAUGGGAAGAUAAGUGUAACUCUUCUUUUUUCUUUUCACUGAUUUGUGUUUUUGUGAUCCUUUAUUAUUGAUUAUAAGAUUAAAUUACCUUA
This 377-nucleotide ribosomal RNA is filed under the name Cryptotermes aequacornis. RNAcentral's name for it is "partial large subunit ribosomal RNA". The stretch from base 1 to 189 matches the Rfam family "Archaeal large subunit ribosomal RNA", at positions 1922 to 2143 of the family's 2987-position model. Lineage: Eukaryota; Metazoa; Arthropoda; Insecta; Blattodea; Kalotermitidae. The record is from RNAcentral.